This 1024-nucleotide long non-coding RNA is filed under the name Glycine max (soybean). RNAcentral's name for it is "long non-coding RNA (GMAX_LNC002190)". Lineage: Eukaryota; Viridiplantae; Streptophyta; Magnoliopsida; Fabales; Fabaceae. The record is from RNAcentral.
AAGCAUCCAGCCUCAUAUGCAUCGUUUCUUGAUUUACUUCUCCAUGAUUUCUGCUUUGGGUCUCACAGGGAAGUCAAGUAGCGGAAAUGUGGUUGGUUGUGAAACAGUGGUUGUGUGGGUUUGUCUACCCUGGAUUUAGAAUUCUUGAAUUUGUCUUUUGCUUCUACUUUUCAUUGGUCUAGUAUUAGCAUUUCUCGAAUUACUUCUCCCUUUUUUCGUCUUGGGUCUCACAGGGAAGACUAGUGACUGUGUGGGUUGUUGUCGAAGCAGUGACUAUCUUAUUGUUGGGUUAUACCUCUCGAUCUAUUCUCUACCGAUUCUUGAUCUACUUGCAAGCAUUUAUUUUCGUGGUGCUGCUGAUUUAAGAUUGAACCAAUAAAUUAUUAUGCCUUUCUGGAAACCGUGAAUUAGAAUCUGGCUAUAGAUAUAUUUAAUGUCUUUGAUGACUUUGUUUAUAUAUACUGGCUACAUAUGAGUUUUAUACUGUUUUCAUUUUCUGGAUUUUGAUCACAGGGAAUAUGGAUUGUAUUGUGAACCUGUUUCAUCCGCAGUAUGUUGUGGUAGCAGCGGUGUGAGAGUACUAUUUAUGAUUAAUAAAAACCUUAGGUUUUAUUACCCUUGAUAGUUGAUACAAUCAGUAUCUUCCUCUUUUAUGGGUUCUGGAUUUGUUGUUUUUGACAUUGUAGGGUUCUGUCAGUCAGAGUUCUUGAUGUUUCCUUUUUGGAAAUUGUACGAGUAUUAAUAGGUUCUUCAUAGCAUCGGUCCCCUUUAUGAUUUGAUGAUCUUUGGCUAGAUUUUGAACAGUUGGAUUUCUAAGUGGUUAGUUAUUUAUUUACUUUUCAGGGAUUUGUGAGCAACAAAAGUGUAGAGGGCUGUGGAUGCUAUGGCGGGAGAGUAGGAUUGAUCGACUUCCACCUAAAGUCUUAGGUUUAAUUAUCCUUGGUAUAUUCAUUUUGAAUUUUAUAUGUUCAUUCUUGACUGGUUAUCUUCUUCUAGGGGUUCUGGAUUGAUUGUUGGUUUUAAU